UGAAGAUCUUCUUCAAGAACU
RNAcentral lists this small nuclear RNA (21 nucleotides) under Arabidopsis thaliana (thale cress). RNAcentral's name for it is "snRNA_11946". The record is from RNAcentral. Lineage: Eukaryota; Viridiplantae; Streptophyta; Magnoliopsida; Brassicales; Brassicaceae.